ACCCGCUGAACUUAAGCAUAUCAAUAAGCGGAGGAAAAGAAACUAACAAGGAUUCCCUUAGUAACGGCGAGUGAAGUGGGAAUAGCUCAAAUUUGAAAUCUCUUAGGGUUCCCCUAAGCGAAUUGUAAUUUCUAGAAGUGUUUUCUGAACAAGAUAAAGUGUAAGUCCUUUGGAAAAAGGUAUCAUAGAGGGUGACAAUCCCGUCUAUCACUUUAUUUUAUUGUUCUAUGUGAUACACUUUCAAAGAGUCGGGUUGUUUGGGAAUGCAGCCCUAAAUGGGUGGUAAAUACCAUCUAAAGCUAAAUAAUGGCGAGAGACCGAUAGCGAACAAGUACCGUGAGGGAAAGAUGAAAAGAACUUUGAAAAGAGAGUUAAAUAGUACGUGAAAUUGUCAAAAGGGAAACGUUUGAAACCAGUAUUUUAUCCUUUUAGAUUUUGGUCCAAUUUCUUGAAGUUGGGGUUCCAAUCUUUUUGGAUGGUCAACAUCAAUUUAAUUUGAAGGAAAAAGUUUAAAGGAAGGUAGCCAUUCAUUUUUAAUGUUUGGUAUUAUAGACUUUAAAGUAAUACUUUGAAUUAGAUUGAGGACUAUAGUAAUUUUUUAGGAUUAAGAGAUUGCCUUUUAAAAGUUUAAGAUUAACAGCAUGCUGAUAAUUUUAAAUAAUUUUGAAAGCUCAGUUUUUUAUUUCACUAUAUUACUUUGGAUGUUGACGAAAUGGUUUUAAAUGACCCGUCUUGAAACACGG
This 743-nucleotide ribosomal RNA is filed under the name uncultured fungus. Its description in RNAcentral is "LSU rRNA". It matches the Rfam family "Eukaryotic large subunit ribosomal RNA", at positions 23 to 664 of the family's 3401-position model. The record is from RNAcentral. Lineage: Eukaryota; Fungi.